RNAcentral lists this ribosomal RNA (301 nucleotides) under uncultured bacterium. RNAcentral describes it as "partial 16S ribosomal RNA". It matches the Rfam family "Bacterial small subunit ribosomal RNA", at positions 509 to 807 of the family's 1533-position model. The record is from RNAcentral.
CAGUAGCCGCGGUAAUACGAAGGGGGCUAGCGUUGUUCGGAUUUACUGGGCGUAAAGCGCACGUAGGCGGACUUUUAAGUCAGGGGUGAAAUCCCGGGGCUCAACCCCGGAACUGCCUUUGAUACUGGAAGUCUUGAGUAUGGUAGAGGUGAGUGGAAUUCCGAGUGUAGAGGUGAGAUUCGUAGAUAUUCGGAGGAACACCAGUGGCGAAGGCGGCUCACUGGACCAUUACUGACGCUGAGGUGCGAAAGCGUGGGGAGCAAACAGGAUUAGAUACCCCUGUAGUCCCUGUCUCUUAUAC